AGCGAACGUUUGCGGCGGGCCUAACACAUGCAAGUCGAACGGGCAGUCCCUUCGGGGGCGUGUCAGUGGCGCACGGGUGGCGUAACACGUAGGUAAUCAACCCUCGGGUUCGGGAUAACACUUCGAAAGGGGUGCUAAUACCGGAUGCGACGAGCGUCUCCUCGGAGAUGCACGGGAAAGAUCCGCAAGGGUCGCCCGAGGACGAGCCUGCGGCCCAUCAGCUUGUUGGUGAGGUAAUGGCUCACCAAGGCUAAGACGGGUAGCUGGUCUGAGAGGAUGAUCAGUCACACUGGAACUGAGACACGGUCCAGACUCCUACGGGAGGCAGCAGUGGGGAAUAUUGCGCAAUGGGCGAAAGCCUGACGCAGCCACGCCGCGUGAGCGAUGAAGGCC
Molecule: ribosomal RNA, 393 nt
Filed under: uncultured bacterium
Lineage: Bacteria
Description: bacterial SSU rRNA
Rfam family: Bacterial small subunit ribosomal RNA
Source: RNAcentral